AUGAAUCCCUCCAGCCCCAGGAGACAUUAGCUACUCUUUUCAGUAUCAAGUUGGUUGACUGGAUGUUACAGAGUCGCAUCUUCAAAAACAGCGAUCUCAUGAGACAAGAGUGGGCAAGACUCACAAUCAGAGCCACUCAUGGAUGCUGGGCCAGAAGAGGACUGCGAGAGACCCCGCUGCAGUUACGGCCACAGGAGGGACAAACAGAUGGGCAGAGCUGAGCAUCCACUGCAGUGAUGGUGGGAGGAAAUGUACUUGCGUUCUGUACUGAAGCAAAAGGCUGGGUCUUCAGAGGGACUUGAGCCAGGCUAAGGAUUUGAAAUUCACUUUGUAGGAAGUUGGGAGCCUCUGCAAAGCCUUAAGAGAGGACCUCGAGCUUUCGAAGCAGGCAGCAGAACC
Molecule: long non-coding RNA, 399 nt
Filed under: Heterocephalus glaber (naked mole-rat)
Lineage: Eukaryota; Metazoa; Chordata; Mammalia; Rodentia; Bathyergidae
Description: lncRNA (ENSHGLG00100041288.1)
Source: RNAcentral